This 378-nucleotide ribosomal RNA is filed under the name Triticum aestivum (bread wheat). RNAcentral's name for it is "partial small subunit ribosomal RNA". Lineage: Eukaryota; Viridiplantae; Streptophyta; Magnoliopsida; Poales; Poaceae. The record is from RNAcentral.
AUGGUGCAUGAACACCAUCAUUGCUGGAUCAAACCACAUAGGCUAGAUCGUGAGUUUUCACCCAGAAGACAAGGACCAGCUAAGCUCCAAACAGUGUCUUCAACAAGGGAGCGGAACCGUCACUGCCAGGUACAACCAGUAAAGGCUGGACCUAGGGUUUUCACCCCGGAACCUAGGACCUGGUAUUCAAAGAGCACCACCAUAGACGAAGUCCCUGUGUUGUCACCACCAACUUGCCAUAGAAGAAGUCCAGAUGCAAUGUCUCGAUCAGCACUGAAAUUUUGGAUCAAAGUGAACACCACACAUCAGGCAUUUACUGAGACGACAGAUCUGAGAACACAGACAACGCUGACUGUGCUAGCAUCAAUGCCGAUGUGA